RNAcentral lists this transfer RNA (70 nucleotides) under Crotaphatrema lamottei. Its description in RNAcentral is "tRNA-Tyr". It matches the Rfam family "tRNA". From Rfam's summary of the family: Transfer RNA (tRNA) molecules are approximately 80 nucleotides in length. Their secondary structure includes four short double-helical elements and three loops (D, anti-codon, and T loops). Further hydrogen bonds mediate the characteristic L-shaped molecular structure. tRNAs have two regions of fundamental functional importance: the anti-codon, which is responsible for specific mRNA codon recognition, and the 3' end, to which the tRNAs corresponding amino acid is attached (by aminoacyl-tRNA synthetases). tRNAs cope with the degeneracy of the genetic code in two manners: having more than one tRNA (with a specific anti-codon) for a particular amino acid; and 'wobble' base-pairing, i.e. permitting non-standard base-pairing at the 3rd anti-codon position. The record is from RNAcentral. Lineage: Eukaryota; Metazoa; Chordata; Amphibia; Gymnophiona; Scolecomorphidae.
GGUAAAAUGGCUGAGAAUUAAGCGGCGGGUUGUAAUUCCGAUUAGAUAGGUUAAAAUCCUUUUUUUACUA